UACGUAGGGGGCAAGCGUUGUCCGGAUUUAUUGGGCGUAAAGAGCGUGUAGGCGGCCAAACAGGUCAGCUGUGAAAACUCGAGGCUCAACCUCGAGACGUCGGUUGAAACCGUUUGGCUAGAGUCCGGAAGAGGAGAGUGGAAUUCCCGGUGUAGCGGUGAAAUGCGCAGAUAUCGGGAAGAACACCCGUGGCGAAGGCGGAUCUCUGGGCCAUUACUGACGCUGAGGAGCGAAAGCGUGGGGAGCGAACAGG
RNAcentral lists this ribosomal RNA (253 nucleotides) under uncultured bacterium. RNAcentral describes it as "partial 16S ribosomal RNA". It matches the Rfam family "Bacterial small subunit ribosomal RNA", at positions 524 to 776 of the family's 1533-position model. The record is from RNAcentral.